GGAGAGCCCCGAUCGGCUCCUGGACGAGUACGCCGUACCCAGCACACGACAAGACGGCGUAGG
Molecule: non-coding RNA, 63 nt
Filed under: Streptomyces mangrovisoli
Lineage: Bacteria; Bacillati; Actinomycetota; Actinomycetes; Kitasatosporales; Streptomycetaceae
Source: RNAcentral